Molecule: ribosomal RNA, 466 nt
Filed under: uncultured bacterium
Lineage: Bacteria
Description: partial 16S ribosomal RNA
Rfam family: Bacterial small subunit ribosomal RNA
Source: RNAcentral
GAUGAACGCUGGCGGCGUGCUUAACACAUGCAAGUCGAACGGAAAGGCUCCUGCUUGCAGGGGUACUCGAGUGGCGAACGGGUGAGUAACACGUGGGUGAUCUGCCCAGCACUUCGGGAUAAGCCUGGGAAACUGGGUCUAAUACCGGAUAGGACGAUGGCUUGGAUGCCAUUGUGGAAAGUUUUUUCGGUGUGGGAUGAGCUCGCGGCCUAUCAGCUUGUUGGUGGGGUAAUGGCCUACCAAGGCGUCGACGGGUAGCCGGCCUGAGAGGGUGUACGGCCACAUUGGGACUGAGAUACGGCCCAGACUCCUACGGGAGGCAGCAGUGGGGAAUAUUGCACAAUGGGCGCAAGCCUGAUGCAGCGACGCCGCGUGGGGGAUGACGGCCUUCGGGUUGUAAACUCCUUUCGCUAGGGACGAAGCGCAAGUGACGGUACCUGGAGAAGAAGCACCGGCUAACUACGUG